GAAAGAGAAUAAGAGCGUACGGGGGAUGCCUGUGGCUCUCAGAGGCGAAGAAGGACGUGACAAGCUGCGACAAGCUACGGGGAUUGGCAAAUACGAAUAGAUCCGUAGAUAUCCGAAUGGGGCAACCCAAUACAUUGAAGAUGUAUUACCAUAUAAUAUGGGGCGAACGUGGGGAACUGAAACAUCUAAGUACCCAUAGGAGUAGAAAAUAAUUAAUGAUUCCGCAAGUAGUGGCGAGCGAACGCGGAGGAGCCUAAACCAUUUAUGUUACGGCAUAACUGGGGUUGUAGGACUGAGCGAUUGAGAACAUACAAGUACUAGAAUAACCUGGAAAGGUUAACCAUAGGAGGUGAUAGUCCUGUAUAGGAAAUUUGUAUUUAUCAUAUCAGUAUCCUGAGUAGGGCGGGACUGGCGAAAUCCUGUUUGAAUCUGGCAGCACCAUCUGCCAAGGCUAAAUACUACUGAGAGACCGAUAGUGAACAAGUACUGUGAAGGAAAGGUGAAAAGAACCGUGAAUAACGGAGUGAAAUAGACCCUGAAACUGUGCGCUUACAAGCGGUCGGAGCGGAUUAAUAUCCGUGACGGCGUGCCUUUUGCAUAAUGAGCCUACGAGUUACAUCUUACUAGCGAGGUUAAUAUUUUCAGGAUAGCAGCCGUAGCGAAAGCGAGUCUUAAUAGGGCGUAUUAGUUAGUGGGAGUAGACGCGAAACUUUGUGAUCUACCCUUUAGCAGGUUGAAGUUCUGGUAACACAGAAUGGAGGACCGAACCCGUUGUUGUUGAAAAAACUUGGGAUGACUUGAGGGUAGGGGUGAAAGGCUAAUCAAACUGAGAGAUAGCUCGUACUCCCCGAAAAGCUUUUAGGAGCUACCUGGGAUGUUUCUUUAUAGAGGUAGAGAUACUGAUAGGAUGCGGGGGCUUCACCGCCUACCAAUUCCUGACAAACUCCGAAUGCUAUAAAGUAUAAGUCCUGGAGAAAGGCUAUGGGUGCUAAUGUCCAUAGCCGAGAGGGAAAGAACCCGGACCAUCAGCUAAGGUCCCCAAAUGUAUGCUAAGUUGAAAUAACGCGGUAUGAUUGCAUAGACAGCUAGGAUGUUGGCUUGGAAGCAGCCAUUCAUUUAAAGAGUGCGUAACAGCUCACUAGUCGAGCGAUCGUGCAUGGAUAAUAAACGGGCAUAAGCAUACUACCGAAGCUAUGGGAUAUAUUUUAAUAUAUCGGUAGGGGAGCAUUCUAUAUUACGUAGAAGAUAAAGGCGUGAGCCAUGUUGGAGUAUAUAGAAAAGCAAAUGUAGGCAUAAGUAACGAUAAUGCGGGUGAGAAACCCGCACACCGGAAGACUAAGGUUUCCUGAUCAACGAUAAUCGGAUCAGGGUAAGUCGGGACCUAACGCGAAGCCGAAGGGCGAAAGUGGAUGGACAAUCGGUUAAAAUUCCGAUACUGACUGAUAUUGUGAUGGACUGACGGAGAAGUGGAACUACCGCGUGCUGACGGAAUAGCACGUUAAAGGGUGUAGAUAAAUUUGUUAUAGGCAAAUCCGUAAUGAAUGUCGAACCUGAUAGUACCGAGAGGCUUCGGCUAAUUGGAUAGUGUAGGUAAUCAAGCUCCCAAGAAAACGUUCUAAACAUAGAUAUCAGUUACCCGUACCGUAAACCGACACAGGUAGUCGAGGAGAGAAUCCAAAGGUGCUCGAGUGAUCCGUGGCUAAGGAACUAGGCAAAUUAGUCCUGUAACUUCGGGAUAAAGGACCCCUACAGCGAUGUAGGGCGCAGAGAAACGGCCCUGGCGACUGUUUAGCAAAAACACAUGGCUUUGCGAAAUCGGAAGAUGAAGUAUAAGGCCUGACACCUGCCCGGUGCUGGAAGGUUAAGAGGAGAUGUCAUCCGCAAGGAGAAGCAUUGAAUUGAAGCCCCAGUAAACGGCGGCCGUAACUAUAACGGUCCUAAGGUAGCGAAAUUCCUUGUCGGGUAAGUUCCGACCUGCACGAAUGGUGUAACGAUCUGGGCACUGUCUCAGCCACGAGCUCGGUGAAAUUGUAGUAGCGGUGAAGAUGCCGCUUACCCGCAACGGGACGGAAAGACCCCGUGAACCUUCACUAUAACUUAACAUUGAUUUUGGAUACAUGAUGUGUAGGAUAGGUGGGAGACUGUGAAGCAGGUACGCUAGUAUUUGUGGAGUCAUUGUUGAAAUACCACCCUUUAUUUAUUUGGAAUCUAACUUGCGUAAUGCGAGGACAUUGUUUGGUGGGUAGUUUGACUGGGGUGGUCGCCUCCAAAAGCGUAACGGAGGCUUUCAAAGGUACCCUCAGUACGGUUGGUAACCGUGCGUAGAGUGCAAUAGCAUAAGGGUGCUUGACUGUGAGGCCUACAAGCCGAUCAGGUAGGAAACUAGGAUAUAGUGAUCCGGUGGUUCCGUAUGGAAGGGCCAUCGCUCAAAGGAUAAAAGGUAC
Molecule: ribosomal RNA, 2444 nt
Filed under: fermentation metagenome
Description: bacterial LSU rRNA
Rfam family: Bacterial large subunit ribosomal RNA
Source: RNAcentral